UUUUGCUUAUUAUUAUUCUAGGCUUCGGUUUGGUUCAGGUCAUGAGUUUAGUUUGAUGUUAAUUCUUUAAGUCUCUGUCGUCCCUGGGUUCCAUGUGUUAUAUUCUUUCAGUUUGCCUCUCAGUGUCAAGUCUGUGUCUUUGUGAUUCGUUUCGUGUUUCCUGUUUUAUUUUGAUAGUCCCAGUCUGAUGUCAGAGUGUUCAGUUCUACUUCUCUCCUGUCUCGUUAGUCUAAUUUCUCUCAGCUGUGUCUCCCUCCUGUUUCCCAUUCCCUGAUUACUCCACAGUGUACAUAAACCCCGUGUUUUCCUUUGCUCUCUGUUGCGUCGUUAAUGUCUGCUCACCCUCGGAUGUUGCUGUGUGUUCCGUUACCUGUUUUGCCUGCCUGUUAGUUUAUUUUUCCUCAGUGCGGCGCACGGAGCUUUCCGCUACACACUGGCGACCGCCAUUGGAGACUGGAAUCUCAACACAGCUGCUGCGGAAUUCCUCCUCAUGCCAUUCUGAGCCUAACUCACCGGCCUCUUUCUUGGCAGCAAUGUGGUCAGAGGAUGAAGAGCAAGCCUUCAUCGCUCCACCAUCACCAGUUUCCUCCAUCACCUCUGUUCCCUCAUCAGGGAGGAAACGUCGUUCACGCCACCGGCAUCCCUUAACUCAGCCGGAUUCUGGGACUUCUGAGCAGCCGGCUGGGAGCAAUACUGAGCUGCAGUGGGCAGAAAGGCAGGAAAGUGAAUUCUGGUCUUGUUACUUUAAAUCGAGAAAGCCGAUGGAGGCAGCAGCAGCAGGUAGCAGGAGGGUACUAUUAUUGUCACAGAGAGAGCUGUCUGACUGAGGUACUGCAACAGCAGAGGGGCACCAAUACUCCUUGGAAGCGUGUAGUCCGCCAAACCAACGAAGAAGAAGAGAGCGCCACUUCUAACGGUCCAGACUCCGCUCAGCAAGGGACUGUCAGCAGCACCCUGCACUGAACCUUCUAUUUCAAUAUCCAAAUCAGUGUGGAGCAGAAUGCACCAUAGAGAUUUACAACUCUCCUGUUGAAUGCCUAAAGACUGAAGACUGCAAGGAAAGAACGCUAAUCUACACUGAGCAUCUGACAAGACUUGCAUCCAAGUCCUCAAACAUAUUGAAUCCAAAACCUGUUCCAGUUCCUCAGACACCAUCAGACUGUUUUGAAAGCCCUUUUACUAUCAAGUCUGGAUAAAAAAACUUUGUCAACCACUGCAAGUAUCAAGUAUUUAAAAAAAAAAAAAAAAAAAAAAAAAAAAUUAUUUGACUGUUUAUUUUGUACUUAUUUGUUUUUGGUUGUAUUAAGUUUGAUAUUAAUUAGAUCAGUGCCUUUUUAGUCAUUAAUUUGAUUAUUUAAUAUUAACUGUUAUGUUUAUUGCCACAUUUGUUGGACCUUAAUUUUUUUAGACGACAUUCUGGCUACAACAGCUGACAAUAAUUUACUGUAAAUAUGAACUUUUGAAUAAAAAACAUGUUUUGUAUUA
Oreochromis aureus is the source of this 1485-nucleotide long non-coding RNA. RefSeq lists it as uncharacterized. The record is from RefSeq and is a predicted model, not a curated record. The transcript has 5 exons. NCBI's taxonomy places the organism in Eukaryota, Metazoa, Chordata, Actinopteri, Cichliformes, Cichlidae.